AAACAACCUGUGUCUCCUCAUCGCCUUGACUGCUGUAGCUGAGAAGUGGAUGGAAGAGUCUUUGUCGCCCAGGGACACGACCCCAGUGUUGCAGGAACAGCAUGAACACAAGCUAAGGGCCUAAGACAUUUGUGGAACCUGCCCUCAUUCUCUCUUGGUCUCGUCUCACAGUGGCGAUAAGCCCUCCUGCAGGUCUCACUCCAUGCAGA
RNAcentral lists this long non-coding RNA (209 nucleotides) under Chinchilla lanigera (long-tailed chinchilla). RNAcentral describes it as "lncRNA (ENSCLAG00000025945.1)". The record is from RNAcentral. Lineage: Eukaryota; Metazoa; Chordata; Mammalia; Rodentia; Chinchillidae.